AACGAACGCUGGCGGCAUGCCUAACACAUGCAAGUCGAACGAGACCUUCGGGUCUAGUGGCGCACGGGUGCGUAACGCGUGGGAACCUGCCCUUAGGUUCGGAAUAACUCCCGGAAAGGGGUGCUAAUACCGGAUAAUGUCUUCGGACCAAAGAUUUAUAGCCUUUGGAUGGGCCCGCGUUGGUUUAGCUAGUGGGUAGCGUAAAAGCCUACCAAGGCGACGAUCCAUAGCUGGUCUGAGAGGAUGAGCAGCCACACUGGGACUGAGACACGGCCGAGACUCCUACGGGAGGGAGCAGUGGGGAAUAUUGGACAGUGGGCGGAAGCCUGAUCCAGCAAUGCCGCGUGAGUGAUGAAGGCCUUAGGGUUGUAAAGCUCGUUUACCCGGGAUGAUAAUGACAGUACCGGGAGAAUAAGCACCGGCUAACUCCGUG
This 433-nucleotide ribosomal RNA is filed under the name uncultured bacterium. RNAcentral's name for it is "partial 16S ribosomal RNA". It matches the Rfam family "Bacterial small subunit ribosomal RNA", at positions 29 to 507 of the family's 1533-position model. The record is from RNAcentral.